AUGGUGGUGGUUCCGGCUGCGGCGGUGGUGACCAUGCUACUGUUCAUCGUCUUCCCCAAAACGGUCAACAGAAGUCAAACGGCCUAAUUCUCGAUCAAUACCGGAUAAUAUUCAAAUUAAACUUGCAGAAACAUUGUACAAGUAUAAACAUACCGAUUGGGUGAUUAAAACCGAUCCGGUAUCGCGUGCAACAGCGUGGCGACAGUCUCCGGCGACGGGUAUUCCGGCGAGACUUGCAGACGAUGAACAGAGGGUAUUUUCGAAGGGGUAAAGGAUUUUGAAGGGUGUGAGAGUUUUAUAUGGGUUCAGGGACUCUAAAUAACACAACAAUUUGACACUUAAUCGACAAACUUCUGUGGAUUAAUUCCACUUUGAAUUUUUUAUAAAAACUCCGAUUUCACGUGGUGUCGGGCAUGCUUAUUGAACAAUUACAAAGCGUGGGGAGUUGUUUACGAUCUGUGAGAGUGUUUUAUAUGGGUUCAGGGACUCUAAAUAACACAACAAUUUGA
Molecule: long non-coding RNA, 509 nt
Filed under: Helianthus annuus (common sunflower)
Lineage: Eukaryota; Viridiplantae; Streptophyta; Magnoliopsida; Asterales; Asteraceae
Source: RNAcentral